GAUGAACGCUGGCGGCGUGCCUAAUACAUGCAAGUCGAGCGAACAGAUAAGGAGCUUGCUCCUUUGACGUUAGCGGCGGACGGGUGAGUAACACGUGGGUAACCUACCUAUAAGACUGGGAUAACUUCGGGAAACCGGAGCUAAUACCGGAUAAUAUUUCGAACCGCAUGGUUCGAUAGUGAAAGAUGGUUUUGCUAUCACUUAUAGAUGGGCCCGCGCCGUAUUAGCUAGUUGGUAAGGUAACGGCUUACCAAGGCGACGAUACGUAGCCGACCUGAGAGGGUGAUCGGCCACACUGGAACUGAGACACGGUCCAGACUCCUACGGGAGGCAGCAGUAGGGAAUCUUCCGCAAUGGGCGAAAGCCUGACGGAGCAACGCCGCGUGAGGGAUGAAGGUCUUCGGAUCGUAAAACUCUGUUAUUAGGGAAGAACAUACGUGUAAGUAACUGUGCACGUCUUGACGGUACCUAAUCAGAAAGCCACGGCUAACUACGUG
This 497-nucleotide ribosomal RNA is filed under the name uncultured bacterium. RNAcentral describes it as "partial 16S ribosomal RNA". It matches the Rfam family "Bacterial small subunit ribosomal RNA", at positions 28 to 507 of the family's 1533-position model. The record is from RNAcentral.